GGCCGCCUGGCGAAAUGGCAUCGCGUCUGACUACGACUUGUGGCUGUAAUCAGGAGAUUGCAGGUUCGACCCCUGCGGUGGUCA
This is a non-coding RNA of Pleurotus ostreatoroseus, 84 nucleotides long. Lineage: Eukaryota; Fungi; Basidiomycota; Agaricomycetes; Agaricales; Pleurotaceae. The record is from the annotation of a GenBank genome assembly.